Long non-coding RNA from Bradysia coprophila, 461 nucleotides. RefSeq lists it as uncharacterized. Lineage: Eukaryota; Metazoa; Arthropoda; Insecta; Diptera; Sciaridae. The record is from RefSeq and is a predicted model, not a curated record.
GAUUACCAUUUAAUUAAUUGUACGUACAGCAGUAUAUCGAUUUAUAUCUACACUUAAAUGUACAAAGUUUGAAUUGUUUUCAAUUUAACCCUCAAAAUUCAUAAAGCCUUUUUCAAAUUAAAAGGUAACUGAGGAAGUGGCUGCUCUUAUAUUAUUAAACGAGAAGAAGAAGAGCGAGAAGAAGCAAAGCGUAAGAUGCAAGCAGAGGAGGAACGUAAAAAGCGCGAGGAAGAACGUGAUAGACGAGCGGGGAUGGAACAUCUUGAAAAGGAGAUAACUCGUCUCAAAUCCAAACCGGACAGUCAACUGGAUUCUAUUCAAACUGUUUUCAUUUUCGAUGAACACUUGUCUAGCGCCGAGGAAAAUCAGCGCUUUACGGAAAAAAUCGUACCAAUGAUGUUGUCAAGACUUUUCGAUGAAAGUUCGGAACUGGUUCAUUUGGUAGCAUUCGUUAGAUAUAA